RNAcentral lists this ribosomal RNA (253 nucleotides) under uncultured bacterium. Its description in RNAcentral is "partial 16S ribosomal RNA". It matches the Rfam family "Bacterial small subunit ribosomal RNA", at positions 524 to 776 of the family's 1533-position model. The record is from RNAcentral.
UACGUAGGUGGCAAGCGUUGUCCGGAUUUAUUGGGUUUAAAGGGUGCGUAGGCGGUUCUAUAAGUCAGUGGUGAAAUCCGGCAGCUCAACUGUCGAUGUGCCAUUGAUACUGCAGAACUUGAGUACAGACGAGGUAGGCGGAAUUGACGGUGUAGCGGUGAAAUGCUUAGAUAUCGUCAAGAACACCGAUAGCGAAGGCAGCUUACUAGACUGUAACUGACGCUAAUGCACGAAAGUGUGGGGAUCAAACAGG